ACUCAAAUGAAUUGACGGGGACCCGCACAAGCGGUGGAGUAUGUGGUUUAAUUCGAAUCUACGCGAAGAACCUUACCAGCUCUUGACAUGGUGAUCAUACUGUCCGUAAUGGGACAGGUCGGUUCGGCCGGAUCACACACAGGUGCUGCAUGGCUGUCGUCAGUUCGUGUCGUGAGAUGUUGGGUUAAGUCCCGCAACGAACGCAACCCUUAUCGUUAGUUGCUAACAUUUUAGGUGAGAACUUUAGCGAUACUGCCGGUGAUAAACCGGAGGAAGGUGGGGACGACGUCAAGUCAUCAUGGCCCUUAUGGGCUGGGCUACACACGUACUACAAUGGUGGUUACAGAAGGCAGCGAAGGGGCAACCUGGAGCGAAUCCCAAAAAACCACCUCAGUUCGGAUUGCUCUCUGCAACUCGAGAGCAUGAAGUUGGAAUCGCUAGUAAUCGCAGAUCAGCGUGCUGCGGUGAAUACGUUCCCGGGUCUUGUACACACCGCCCGU
Molecule: ribosomal RNA, 500 nt
Filed under: uncultured bacterium
Lineage: Bacteria
Description: partial 16S ribosomal RNA
Rfam family: Bacterial small subunit ribosomal RNA
Source: RNAcentral